GUGGCUAUGGCUCAGUGGUAGAGUGCUCGCCUAGCACAUGUGAGGCACUGGGUUCGAUCCUCAGCACCACA
RNAcentral lists this transfer RNA (71 nucleotides) under Marmota monax (woodchuck). Its description in RNAcentral is "tRNA.Ala". Lineage: Eukaryota; Metazoa; Chordata; Mammalia; Rodentia; Sciuridae. The record is from RNAcentral.